AAUGCCGCACACCGGAAGCCUGUUGUAAGCUGCCGCGCGCAAGAGGGCGAGGGGUGGGCUCCGCCAGGGAAAGAGUCUCCAAGUCGCAGAAUGCUAGGAGCUGCGCCCACCGUCUGGACGUCCUUGGGCGCCCAGAGCGAGUAGCUGAAGGAGAGCGGAAAGAAAGCGCCUACCACUCCCAGAGCGCUUCGCGCGGCCACCCCGCCCCACGGCCUGAGAGAUCCAACCCUUGGCCCCGGCCCUCUGCCCUUCACUGUGGCCCUGGGCGCUAGGCGCUUCCUCUGACACGUUACGGUGACUUGAGCAGCUUAACCUCCAUGUCUCUCUUCCCAACUGCAGACUGCAAUUCGUGCGCCCCCAGUUUGAAGGUUACUUCUGUCUCCGCAGUGUCAACCGUUCCCCUUUCCUGACCGGAACUUGCCAGGCUGACAAAUUCGGAGAUUUUGAAGUACCGUCCGACGCCCUCUUCUGGUCUCACGAGGACUGCACACGUGUACCGCACAAACAUACACAAAAACCACCCGGACACAUAAACUCAAGGCAGUUGAUAGUGCCUGCAAACCCUUCCCUGUCUGGGCUACUGUAUGAAGCAAGCAGGCAUGAGAAAAACUUGGCCUACAGAAGGCAGGUGGUAUAUAAAUAGCCUAUAAAGGGUCAUGAGAUUCCUGGCUAAGGACUCGAGUUUAUGCAUUUCUCCAGAUUACUAGCUCAUUCCCAACCUCCUGAGUGUCUUUGUAAAUUUUUAAAUAAAUUGCCUCAAUUGUUGACUAUGUA
Molecule: long non-coding RNA, 774 nt
Organism: Psammomys obesus (fat sand rat)
Lineage: Eukaryota; Metazoa; Chordata; Mammalia; Rodentia; Muridae
Exons: 2
Source: RefSeq, a predicted model, not a curated record